RNAcentral lists this ribosomal RNA (253 nucleotides) under uncultured bacterium. RNAcentral's name for it is "partial 16S ribosomal RNA". It matches the Rfam family "Bacterial small subunit ribosomal RNA", at positions 524 to 776 of the family's 1533-position model. The record is from RNAcentral.
UACGGAGGGUGCAAGCGUUAUCCGGAUUCACUGGGUUUAAAGGGUGCGUAGGUGGGUUGGUAAGUCAGUGGUGAAAUCCCCGAGCUUAACUUGGGAACUGCCAUUGAUACUAUCAGUCUUGAAUACCGUGGAGGUCAGCGGAAUAUGUCAUGUAGCGGUGAAAUGCUUAGAUAUGACGCAGAACACCAAUUGCGAAGGCAGCUUGCUACACUGUUAUUGACACUGAGGCACGAAAGCGUGGGGAGCGAACAGG